This 445-nucleotide ribosomal RNA is filed under the name uncultured bacterium. RNAcentral's name for it is "partial 16S ribosomal RNA". It matches the Rfam family "Bacterial small subunit ribosomal RNA", at positions 354 to 796 of the family's 1533-position model. The record is from RNAcentral.
GUGAGGAAUAUUGGACAAUGGGCGCAAGCCUGAUCCAGCCAUGCCGCGUGCAGGAAGACGCAUCUAUGGUGUGUAAACUGCUUUUGUACGGGAAGAAACACUCCCUCGUGAGGGAGCUUGACGGUACCGUAAGAAUAAGGAUCGGCUAACUCCGUGCCAGCAGCCGCGGUAAUACGGAGGAUCCAAGCGUUAUCCGGAAUCAUUGGGUUUAAAGGGUCCGUAGGCGGUUUAAUAAGUCAGUGGUGAAAGCCCAUCGCUCAACGAUGGAACGGCCAUUGAUACUGAUAGACUUGAAUUACAAGGAAGUAACUAGAAUAUGUAGUGUAGCGGUGAAAUGCUUAGAUAUUACAUGGAAUACCAAUUGCGAAGGCAGGUUACUACUUGUGGAUUGACGCUGAUGGACGAAAGCGUGGGGAGCGAACAGGAUUAGAAACCCUUGUAGUCC